This is a non-coding RNA of Anas platyrhynchos (mallard), 2861 nucleotides long. The record is from RefSeq and is a predicted model, not a curated record. Lineage: Eukaryota; Metazoa; Chordata; Aves; Anseriformes; Anatidae.
CCAGGCAGUGGGCUGGGAUGGAGAAGGGUCCCAGGUGGGAUGGGUCAGUCCCUCAGACAGGUGCUGCCCAUCUGGGGUGAGGCACAGCUCCAGAGAAGACAUAUAGGAGAGCUUGGCAGGAGGCUGAGCUCCUGCUGGAGUCAGGCUUCAGACUGCAUCAAUUCUGACUGUAAGAGGUUUGGACUCAAGGAUGCAAGGGGUUGGGACGCUCUGAUACAACCUUGCUAAAAUCAUGCUAGGUUGAAUGUCAAGCGGGUGGCCUUACGAGAGCAAACUGAGGAAUCCCCAUGUGUUCUUUCUAAAGUUAGUCCCUCCAAACUCUUAUAGGCUAUCAGCUGUUGUCUGUUUCCCUCAAAUAACAGGGGAAAGAGCUCGUUCCUAUAUUUGUUGGGGCUGUUUUCUACGCAGAUAUGGACGGCUGCUCUCUUUUGUAAGCAAAAAGAAAGGUGACAGUGAGCAUAAUAUUCUGUGCAGCUAUAUGAAGGUCUUAGUCUAUAAUGCCCAGCUGGCAAAGCACCUGCAAAUCCAGCACACCAGGCCUUGUGAAGUGCAUGUCUACCUCAGGAACAUUUGAAAUUUCUUGCUGUAGGCAGGUCAAUGCCUAUGAGUUGAGAGCCAGAAUGAGACAUGCAUCUCAGCCUUGGAAGGUGCAGGGAGGACUGAUUACUGACACCUUGCCCCUAACCUGAUGAGGAAGUGAAAUUCCACAGAUCAACUGAGGCUGCUGUUGUGAGGUGUACCCAUCUGUGGUCCCCACUUCAGUUCAACACGAAGACUUGCUCUGUCACACCCCCAGUAGAGUGCUACAGAAGAAGAGAUAACUAUAAAUGAAACAGACUUAAUUCCUUCCUGUGGGCAUGAAAGUGCCUCGAGCCACCUUCAUAACUGUGCACCUGGGUGACUGUCAGAGCUUCACUGUUCUCCCAAAAGCCUCCUCCAAGGAGCUGGACUCCUCACUGUGUCCUGGUCUUGGCCUCUGAGUGGCCUCUCACUUGGAGGCAUGCUGUUCAGCUGCUGGAUAUCUCCCCAAGCACCCAAAGCUGUUGUUUGUCUUGGUUUACCUGUGUAUGAACUGCAGUGACACUUCACAGAGAAGCUAUGAGAUCUUCUUAAUGAAUGUGCAUGGAGGACCCAGGCUGGAGAGAUGCAAAAUAACAAAUGAAUACAACUGUGUAGCCUCAGAGUGCUCCUAAAGAAAGUUGAGUAUGUGAUGAGAACAAGUUUUAAUAGAUCCUGACCAAACGUCCCUAUGUUGCAGGCCUGUGAGCAAAAUGCAAUCUGCCUCAUGCCAUGUGUGAGGAGACUUGGAGAGCCAAUUAAAACUGCAAGCAAAAUCUUGAAAUUUAUUUUUAUUUAUUUAUCUUGAGCAGAGGAUUUUAGGAUAUGCAAUCCUAGGCACAUCUGAAGUGUACAGCACCUGUGCUUCAGUGUGGUUUGGUGAUCUAGCACUGGUAUCCUGGGUGGCAGCAUAAAAUAUUCACAAAGACAAAUGCGAGCUGAAGCUGCUACAGGCUCCCUCUACCAGCUGUGUGGGCAAUAAAUAAAGAAAUAAAUAAAACAAAACCCACCCAGCUAAACUGGAUGUGGCAGGCGAGCAGAAGUGUCUCUGUCUGAACCUGUGCAUGUGUGAGUUAGUCUGUGUGCUUUAAGAGCCAAAUUAGCAGAGUUUUGUGAACAAUGUUCUCUCGACAAGUCAGGUGAAUUUUAUUCCUUGCUUUCAGCUGUUCCGCUGAAUUUUAUGCAGCUCUCCAGAGACUCGCAAGCUCAGAGAGUUCUUUCCAAAAAUGUCGUGUUUGCUCUCUCAGUUACAUUCCUCGCCCUGUCAAACCUCCGCUGCUCUAGUCCCCAUUUCUUUCAAAUGUUUUUCUUCUGUAUGUGUGUGUGCUUUAGUGACUGCAUAUAGCCAACGGUUUUUCUUCCAGUCAGCUCUGAAACAAUAGUGAAGUUAAACCACUUCCCUUCAAUAAAAGGAAAGGGGGCACAAAGAUUUAGAGAGCGACUGAGAGGAGACAGGAAACUGAAAGAAAGGGUCUGCAUGGGGCUGAUGAUACAUAACGGGAUGUGAUGUCCUUCUAGCCAGCAUCCAGUCCCUUUGGUGCCCCGUCAGUGUCUCUAGGGGACAGGGCACAAUUUUCUACAAUGGGUAGGGUUUGGACAACUGUGGAAGAACAAGGAAUGGAGAAGAAAGCGUUUGGGGGUUGUUUUUCUUUUUCUUUUUUUUUUUUUUCCCCAUUACCUCAUCAAAUAAAGGAUUUUGAUGUUACAAAUAGCCCCUGAAGAGGCAGAGGCCUGCUUGGAGGGCCUGCUCCUUCCAGGAGCUGCUGGAUGUGUCUUUGACCGUCAUGGGCAUAGCGGUUGCUCAGACUGGUCUCAGAUCUCAACAGACUCACCCCUACAGGGCAGGUUUGUUUCCCUCUGGUCUCUCCUGGCUUCACCCGCUAACUGUGUUGUGAAUUAAUGCCACAUGUAAUGCUGGGGACACCUGCUGGCCUGGCCUGCAGGGCCAAGUGACCCCACAGUGGCAGGGGGCUUGUGGGCACUCAUGACCCAGGGAGAAUUUGAAUGAGUGACCCAAAGGCAAAAGGCUCAGUUGGUAUCCUGUUACUAAUCCCCUCAUCCAGCCAGAUCCCCAUCUCUUCCCCUCUUUUUUUUUUUUUUUUUUUUUUUUCUUAAAGGGCAUUUGCUGCACCAGCUGCCAGAAUAUCUCAAUUGCAUCAUGUCAACAGAUCCAUCUCAGACUGAUAUUUUAUACUAGGGGAAGGCUGGGCUUAACUCUUCCAUUAAACAAUUAAAGCCAUGCGCACCAAACUCAAAACAGGCUCUGCUGUAACAGAACAAUAAAUAUUGAUGACUUGAGGCAA